RNAcentral lists this ribosomal RNA (254 nucleotides) under uncultured bacterium. RNAcentral's name for it is "partial 16S ribosomal RNA". It matches the Rfam family "Bacterial small subunit ribosomal RNA", at positions 524 to 776 of the family's 1533-position model. The record is from RNAcentral.
UACGAAGGGGGCUAGCGUUGCUCGGAAUCACUGGGCGUAAAGCGCACGUAGGCGGAUCGUUAAGUCGGAGGUGAAAUCCUGGAGCUCAACUCCAGAACUGCCUUCGAUACUGGCGAUCUUGGAGUCCGGGAGAGGUGAGUGGAACUGCGAGUGUAGAGGUGAAAUUCGUAGAUAUUCGCAAGAACACCAGUGGCGAAGGCGGCUCACUGGCCCGGUACUGACGCUGAGGUGCGAAAGCGUGGGGAGCAAACAGG